UCUUAUAACAUUCUCAAUUAUCAAAAAUUCUUUAAGAGUUUUCUCUUAUUUUUCUCAAUGUUAUCACCUCAUUUAACAUGACUGCCGAUGCGAUUGUUUUCGUUGACGUCAGAGCGACUCAAUGGAUAUGUCUGAUUGUUCCUCUAGGACUAACAAACUCUUUAGUUAAAUAAAUUUUUUAACCUAACAAGCUUACAUUUCAUCCCAGGCUUAGAAAUACCAAAAAUACGGCUGAACAUAUAAAUACGGCAGAUGACAGUAUCCAAAACAAUUUUAUCUUUGAAUUGUUAAACAUGUAAAAAGCUUGUAGUGUUCACCUGCAUCACACAUGACAUUGUCAUUCUGCAAAUGUGGUUAAAAAGAACAAGUUAUUAAACGGCGUUACCAUUUUAUGUGCUAAACAACUUUUAAAGAUUUGGCUCAGACAGUCCUGUGACCGUAAAGAAGGUAGAAAUGAUCCCGAACAAGGAAGUACGCGAUCACAUCAAAAAAAUCCAAGACUCUAUCUGCAAUCAAUUUUUAUAAUUAAUUGUAAAAAUAAUAUAGUUUAUGUCUAAAGUGUUUGAAAAACACUUUAACCAUAAACUUUUUUUUCUCAAAUUUUAUGCAUUCGCCAAUGAACAUUAGUUGGACCUUGCGCCAAUAAUCAUUUCGGUGUUGGCCCAAUGCAUUAUGCCAACAUUAUAUCAAUGAAAGUCAAUGCAUUGGGCCAACAUUGACUCAAUUAUUUUUUGCUAGCUGGGUUUUAGCAUUUUUAAUGCACAACUUAGCUAUUGUAACAGCCUUUUGAUGAAAUACAUACCAAUAAAAACCUCAAGAAAUUCUAAUGCGUUCAAAACAACUUAUUCUGCAUUGUACUUAACUCGCUUUUUUAUUUAAAAUCAUAAAAAUUGUUAAUAUAUUUCAUUAUUUACAGAUCCAUCAAAGAAUAAAUUACAAGAUAUUUAUUGUCACAUACUCAACUUUUUUAAUUAAAUCUCCGGUGUAUCUUAGAAAUCCAAACUUCAAAACGAGGCAAUAGAAUGUCAGAAAGUUGCUAUUUUAAACUUCCUCAACAAAUUUUUAUUUUGCAUAAUUGCAUCUUAGAAUUGAUACAGUCUUUUUAUAAACCCACCCAACUCAAUUUCUUUUGACACAUUCAAAAAGAUUAAAGUAUGAAUAUUUUUCAGUCGCUUUCUCAAAAUGAUUCCGUUUCAAUGCUUCUGAAUCAAUUGGUUAAUAUUAAGGUCGUCGAUUAAAUGGUACUUUUUUCUUUAAAUAUUGUUAUUAAUAUCAGUAUUGUUAUCAUUAUUUUUAUUACUAUUAUCAUUUUUAUUUUUAUUAUAGUUAAAAAAAUUGAGAAACUCAAAAUUAUUUUUGAAAUUUUUUAUGGAACGCAUUCGUUACUACUUAAUUUAAUUAUGCAUUUGCAG
Molecule: long non-coding RNA, 1412 nt
Organism: Hydra vulgaris (swiftwater hydra)
Lineage: Eukaryota; Metazoa; Cnidaria; Hydrozoa; Anthoathecata; Hydridae
Source: RefSeq, a predicted model, not a curated record